Non-coding RNA from Acanthosepion pharaonis, 113 nucleotides. NCBI's taxonomy places the organism in Eukaryota, Metazoa, Mollusca, Cephalopoda, Sepiida, Sepiidae. The record is from the annotation of a GenBank genome assembly.
UUAUGGCCAUAUCUGGUUGAAACACCAUUUCCCCCAUGAUCAUCGAAGUGCAGCCGCGUCGAGCUUGGUCGUGCCUAGAUGGGUGACCACUUGGGAAAACCAGGUGUUGUAAA